This 256-nucleotide unclassified non-coding RNA is filed under the name Glomus sp. RNAcentral's name for it is "partial contains 5.8S ribosomal RNA and internal transcribed spacer 2". The stretch from base 1 to 65 matches the Rfam family "5.8S ribosomal RNA", at positions 84 to 154 of the family's 154-position model. The record is from RNAcentral. Lineage: Eukaryota; Fungi; Glomeromycota; Glomeromycetes; Glomerales; Glomeraceae.
GUGAAUCAUCGAAUUUUUGAACGCAAAUUGCACUCUCCUCUGAGAGUAUGCCUGUUUGUGGGUCAGCCUAUAAAAAAUCGACAUCGUUGCUGUUUCUCGGUGACGCUCUUCGUAAAUUUGUUCAUCUUUAUUCCUUUUGGUUUUAAGCUACUUAGAAAUUUUUUUUUGGUUCCAUGAGCGUUUCUAAUAUUUAUUUUUUUACACGUUUAUGUUAUCUAUUUUUACUAGACGUUACCAUCAUAUCUGAUCGUGUCCA